GGAGGGGUAGCCUAGUGGUUAAGGCAGCAGUUUGCUAAACUGCGUCCGUGAAUAACGGACUCGUGGGUUCGAAUCCCACCCCCUCCG
RNAcentral lists this transfer RNA (87 nucleotides) under Pseudomonadota bacterium. RNAcentral's name for it is "tRNA-Ser". It matches the Rfam family "tRNA". Rfam says of the family: Transfer RNA (tRNA) molecules are approximately 80 nucleotides in length. Their secondary structure includes four short double-helical elements and three loops (D, anti-codon, and T loops). RNAcentral also lists the same sequence under 1 other name. Lineage: Bacteria; Pseudomonadati; Pseudomonadota. The record is from RNAcentral.